UGAGUACGAGACGCUAAGGCGUCGAAGUAGUGGAUGUCAUACUUCCAAGGAAAGCUUGCACUGUCAUAAAUAAGAAAUGCCUGUACCAUAACCGACACAGGUGGGUAAGUAGAGUAUACUAAGGGGCGCGAGAUAACUCUCUCUAAGGAACUCGGCAAAAUAACUCCGUAACUUCGGGAGAAGGAGUGCCUUAUUCUUAAGGUUGCAAUAACAAGAUCCAAGCAACUGUCUAUCAAAAACACAGGUCUCCGCUAAGUCGUAAGACGAUGUAUGGGGGCUGACGCCUGCCCAGUGCCAGAAGGUUAAAGAAGUCGGUUAGCAAUAGCAAAGCUGGUAACUGAAGCCCUGGUGAACGGCGGCCGUAACAAUAACGGUCCUAAGGUAGCGAAAUUCCUUGUCGGGUAAGUUCCGACCCGCACGAAAGGCGUAAUGAUUUGGAUGCUGUCUCGGAGAGGGGCUCGGUGAAAUAGACUUGUCUGUGAAGAUGCGGACUACCUGCACCAGGACAGAAAGACCCUAUGAAGCUUUACUGUAACUUGAAAUUGAAAUUGGACUUUAUUCGCGCAGUAUAGGUGGGAGGCGUUGAUUAUAAUCUUGUGGGAUUAUUGGAGCCAUCAGUGAGAUACCACUCUUGUAAUGUUAGAUUUCUAACUUUGAAUCAUUAUCUGGUCAAAGGACAGUUUCAGGCGGGCAGUUUGACUGGGGCGGUCGCCUCCUAAACGGUAACGGAGGCGUACAAAGGUUUCCUCUGAACGGUUAGAAAUCGUAUCUAGAGUGUAAAGGCAUAAGGAAGCUUGACUGUGAGACCUACAAGUCGAGCAGGGACGAAAGUCGGUCUUAGUGAUCUGACGGUACUGAGUGGAAAGGCCGUCACUCAACGGAUAAAAGUUACUCUAGGAUAACAGGCUGAUCUCCCCCAAGAGUUCACAUCGACGGGGAGGUUUGGCACCUCGAUGUCGGCUCAUCGCAUCCUGGGGCGGUAGUACGUCCCAAGGGUUGGGCUGUUCGCCCAUGAAAGCGGUACGCGAGCUGGGUUCAGGACGUCGUGAGACAGUUCGGUCCAUAUCCGGUGUAGGCGCUAGAAUAUUGAGAGAAGCCUUCUUUAGUACGAGAGGACCGAGAAGGACAUACCUCUGGUGUACCAGUUAUCGUGCCAACGGUAAACGCUGGGUAGCUAUGUAUGGAGUGGAUAACCGCUGAAAGCAUCUAAGUGGGAAGCCCACCUCAAGAUAAGUAUUCUCAUCACGUAAGUGAGUAAGGUCACGGUAAGACUAACCGUUUGAUAGGCAUUAAGUGUAAGUACAGUAAUGUAUGUGCUGAGAUGUCCUAAUAGACCGAGGAC
RNAcentral lists this ribosomal RNA (1342 nucleotides) under metagenome. RNAcentral describes it as "bacterial LSU rRNA". It matches the Rfam family "Bacterial large subunit ribosomal RNA", at positions 1564 to 2925 of the family's 2925-position model. The record is from RNAcentral.